RNA transcript from Erigeron canadensis, 1552 nucleotides. RefSeq lists it as uncharacterized. The transcript is spliced from 6 exons. The record is from RefSeq and is a predicted model, not a curated record. NCBI's taxonomy places the organism in Eukaryota, Viridiplantae, Streptophyta, Magnoliopsida, Asterales, Asteraceae.
UUAAUAAGCCUCAUUUGAUCGAACAUAUAUAUAGGAAAUAGUUAUACUGUUAGAUCUUUCCCAUCGUUUGACAACCAUUUUUCCCAAAUCUUUUUCUAUUUUCAGUUUCCCCAACUCCCUUAAUAUAUUUGAUUUCCCAAAAUGUUUUUAUAUUUUCCAUCCUUAAAGAUACUCUCAGAUCUCUAAACUUUAAAGAUUUAGGGUUUUGAAAUAAAUGGCGAAAUCCACUUAUAUAUCUCGCAGGUUCUAUUUUCUUUAUACCCACUGACAGCAUCACGAUGUCAACACCUAUUCCAGGAGAGUCGAAUGCCCUCUUCAUUAAGAGGCAAGAAAAAUAUAUCGCAGUUGCAACAUGUCUUGAAUGAUGGUGUAACUGUUUCCAUAAAGGCCUUUUCUACCGCAUCUAAUGGAUCGCAAAGGAAUCACAAAUUAUGUUUACUUCAAAGAUUAUGUUCUCUCCCAACACCAUGUCAGCCCAAUUCUAGACUACUGUUAUCUCAAGGAUUUAGAGUAAGUCUUCAAUAUAUAUCACUGUAUAUCUUGCUAUUAUUGUAGGCGUUAUUAACCAAAUUUACUGUUUGGUGUUAUUCCUAGCUAGGUGCAAAUCAAGAUCACCAAAUUUACUGUUUGUGUUAUUCCUCACCUCAUCUUGAUAACUUUGUUGAAGCUUGCAGCACAUCACGGAUUACACGCUCUGCCAAAAUGUCUUCAGUUCUGUGACAUUCUUGGGUAAAAUUUAUCCAGCUAUUCACUAUUUUUAUCAGAUCUAGAUACCAAAAAGACAAAUGUAUUAUUUAGAGAUGACAUAAUAAGGCAAAUUGGGUAAUGGGUCAAAGCAUGUGGUUUUUUGGUGCUUGCCGAACUGGUCAUAUUCAUUGGAUGUAAUCAAUCAUUGUUCAAUAUUUAGCAAAUAGAAUGGUUCCUUCCCUAAUGCUUCAGGAACUCUGCGAAAGUCUACAAAAUGUUUGCUAUAGCAGCCAAAAUGUUUGUUGGUAGGGAACGUUUUUCAACAAUUAUUAUUUGGAUAUGAAGUUUGUCAUCUCCUUUGCUUCAAGCGCAUUACUUAUCUCGAAAUAUAAAUUUAGAGUCGUGAACGAGAUAAAAAAAUAAAUCACUUGUAGCUUUCUCUGUAACGGGAGUGGAUCCAAACGGUGGUUUGCUGGUAUAUGUCUAGAAGCAAUAUAGAGGCUGAGCGGGAAACUACGACUACCCAAUUGGCAGUGACAUUUAAGCAGCCCAAUUGCUUCUGUUCCAGUACGAUUCAUAUCAUCCAUGAGAUCUAAUGACAGUUCAUAAGGAGAUCGAUUUCCCGCUUUGUAUAUUGGGGAUCUGCUACUUUUCUUUUGUGUCCACACAAUUAUAGCUUUCAUUUUAGGGUAUCUCAUUUCAUGUUCCAGUCUUUGUUCACUUAUUACCAUUGUGCAAGAUAUUGAGUAGUUUGGUUUUCAUGUCAUCUCAGGACUUGGAACCUUAGAAAUUAUUUGUGUAGUGCUCUAUCCUACGGGAUCAUCUGAAGUCUAAACCCAAUUCAAAUUUUAGAAUUAUCUUUGUA